AGUUCUAUAACGUUUCUACCUGACUGGGAGCCUUGUCCAGCCCCUCACGUGUACACAACAACAGCUGCUGAGAUGGUAUAACAAAACUUGGGGAAAUUGAACUGCUUCAUAACAGCUGAAAAUGAUAACUGGAGCAUGGAACAAGAGCUGUCACCAGCACUAUCACCACAGCACCACCACCUAUGGCAAGAUGAGUAACGACUAAGCCCUUGAGAAAUUAACAACUGGAUCAUGGAGACACUGCUGUUACAGGUAUGUAACAGACAUAGUCUGUCUGUCUGUGUUUUUCUAUAUGCUGUAUCUUUCUAUAUCUCAAUUUUUCUAGGUAUGUCUAACUGUCUAUCUUUAUGUAUCUGCAUCUCUAUAU
Long non-coding RNA from Homarus americanus (American lobster), 367 nucleotides. RefSeq lists it as uncharacterized. NCBI's taxonomy places the organism in Eukaryota, Metazoa, Arthropoda, Malacostraca, Decapoda, Nephropidae. The record is from RefSeq and is a predicted model, not a curated record. The transcript has 3 exons.